Molecule: ribosomal RNA, 583 nt
Filed under: Trichoderma inhamatum
Lineage: Eukaryota; Fungi; Ascomycota; Sordariomycetes; Hypocreales; Hypocreaceae
Description: eukaryotic LSU rRNA
Rfam family: 5.8S ribosomal RNA (bases 210-363)
Source: RNAcentral
GGAUCAUUACCGAGUUUACAACUCCCAAACCCAAUGUGAACGUUACCAAACUGUUGCCUCGGCGGGAUCUCUGCCCCGGGUGCGUCGCAGCCCCGGACCAAGGCGCCCGCCGGAGGACCAACCAAAACUCUUUUUGUAUACCCCCUCGCGGGUUUUUUAUAAUCUGAGCCUUCUCGGCGCCUCUCGUAGGCGUUUCGAAAAUGAAUCAAAACUUUCAACAACGGAUCUCUUGGUUCUGGCAUCGAUGAAGAACGCAGCGAAAUGCGAUAAGUAAUGUGAAUUGCAGAAUUCAGUGAAUCAUCGAAUCUUUGAACGCACAUUGCGCCCGCCAGUAUUCUGGCGGGCAUGCCUGUCCGAGCGUCAUUUCAACCCUCGAACCCCUCCGGGGGGUCGGCGUUGGGGAUCGGCCCUCCCUUAGCGGGUGGCCGUCUCCGAAAUACAGUGGCGGUCUCGCCGCAGCCUCUCCUGCGCAGUAGUUUGCACACUCGCAUCGGGAGCGCGGCGCGUCCACAGCCGUUAAACACCCAACUUCUGAAAUGUUGACCUCGGAUCAGGUAGGAAUACCCGCUGAACUUAAGCAUAU